AUCAUUACAUAGUGGACUCCAUUUCCACAGAUGACUUUCUCUAUAGCUUUAGUACAUGAAAUGAAAUGAAAUACAUUUGGACAACUCCUUCAUGAAAAGCAUUGCUUUAGAAAUAACUCCCAUUCUCACCUUGCCUCCUGCAGGCCUCACUAGCCAAUCAGGCUGUCCAGGCAACUUACCAGUCAGAAGUGGUUCAGAGUCCUUCUAGAAGCCAGCUUCAGGCUUGACUUCGAAGAGGAGAACAUGCCAUUGAUUCUGUGUGCUAUGCUGUGAGUGCUGCUGCAGGGAGCUGAGCAGAGAGCAUGGACAAGCUGGGAAACCAC
Peromyscus californicus insignis is the source of this 323-nucleotide long non-coding RNA. RefSeq lists it as uncharacterized. The transcript has 3 exons. The record is from RefSeq and is a predicted model, not a curated record. NCBI's taxonomy places the organism in Eukaryota, Metazoa, Chordata, Mammalia, Rodentia, Cricetidae.